RNAcentral lists this ribosomal RNA (253 nucleotides) under uncultured bacterium. RNAcentral describes it as "partial 16S ribosomal RNA". It matches the Rfam family "Bacterial small subunit ribosomal RNA", at positions 524 to 776 of the family's 1533-position model. The record is from RNAcentral.
UACGAAGGGUGCAGGCGUUAAUCGGAAUUACUGGGCGUAAAGCGUGCGCAGGCGGUUUGCUAAGACAGGUGUGAAAUCCCCGGGCUUAACCUGGGAACUGCGCUUGUUACUGGCAGGCUUGAGUGUGGCAGAGGGGGGUGGAAUUCCACGUGUAGCAGUGAAAUGCGUAGAGAUGUGGAGGAACACCGAUGGCGAAGGCAGCCCCCUGGGCUAACACUGACGCUCAUGCACGAAAGCGUGGGGAGCAAACAGG